Molecule: long non-coding RNA, 543 nt
Filed under: Astyanax mexicanus (Mexican tetra)
Lineage: Eukaryota; Metazoa; Chordata; Actinopteri; Characiformes; Acestrorhamphidae
Description: lncRNA (ENSAMXG00005013916.1)
Source: RNAcentral
AGAGUUCGAUGCAAAUGUAAACACCAGCAAGAGCGUUAGCAUAGCUCCACCUGUUAAGCAUGCUGAGAGAGAGAGAGAGAGAGAGAGAGAGAGAGAGAAGCACGUUUAAAACAAGGUUAAAAGAUGGAUUUAUUAGAAAAUAAACCUUGCUAAGGAGUGAUAUAUUGGUUUUAUAACCUGCAGUCUCCCACCAGGACUUGGUGAGGUCCUCUAAAAGGAGGAUUUGGGCAAGAGGAGAACCACGUGAAGAAAAGCCUGCCGCUGCGUGUCACGUCCGCUUCCCGGCACCACACACUGCGCCGGUUACUGGGCUGCACCGGGACCCGGAUCAGACCGCCAAUCAUAAUACUAUUCUAGGAGCAGAGAGAGCGAGAGGAAAAAAACACGGAGCAAAGACCCCACCGGCCUGCCCUCCUCGCUGCCUGUAACUCUACCACUUAUUUUCGUUUGCGCCGAAGGAGCCGAUGACCUUGGAGAACUCUGUAAAGGCUGCCAGUAAAACACUGAAGGAUUACCGGUAUGUAACUGCACAUUCAUGUGGUU